CGGUCCGGCAGGCUCACGCUUGUCAAUUGCUGGCUCUCGGCGAUGCCAAUCUUCCACCUCAUGGCCCUCGACCUGCCGCCUUGGUUCUUCAAGUGCAUAGACAAGCUUCGUAGGGGAUUCUUCUGGCGUGGGGUGGAAGAUGCAAAGGGGGGUUGUUGCCUCGUCGCCUGGCAUAUUGUCUGCUCGCCCAAACCCUACGGCGGCCUGGGUGUUCUCAACCUAAAAUUGCUAAAUCAGGCCCUGCGCCUACGCUGGCUUUGGCUUCAGAAGACAGUGCUGGACAAACCAUGGGGUGGCAUGGGUGUCUCCGUGUCGGCGGAGGCUGCCAGGCUGGGCACCGCGGCGCUACGGUGUGACCUCGGAGAUGGGCGCAACAUGAGCUUCUGGUUCGACCCGUGGCUUGAGGGACGCCCUAUCAUGAAGCGGGCGCCCAACUUGAUCGCGCACGUCGGGCCUGCGGGCCGUAAGCUGACUGUCGCGAGCGUGCUGCCAGGGCACGCGUGGGUGGAUUCGAUCCGUGGUGCGCCUACGGUUCCGGCGAUCGCUGAAUUCCUGCUGCUCUAG
Molecule: ribosomal RNA, 564 nt
Filed under: Triticum aestivum (bread wheat)
Lineage: Eukaryota; Viridiplantae; Streptophyta; Magnoliopsida; Poales; Poaceae
Description: partial small subunit ribosomal RNA
Source: RNAcentral